Molecule: unclassified non-coding RNA, 224 nt
Filed under: Hevea brasiliensis (rubber tree)
Lineage: Eukaryota; Viridiplantae; Streptophyta; Magnoliopsida; Malpighiales; Euphorbiaceae
Source: RNAcentral
AACAAAGCAACAGACAUGCUGAAACAACAGACACCUACAAUUCCCAAGUUUUUGUCUUUCCUUUAUGUUACCUUGUCACCUCAGCCUAGUAGAUACCCACUAGAGUCUAUCCACUAAUUUCAAACAAUACCAACGAUUAUAAAAAUCGCAUGAUAAGAAAGUUAACCGACUUUGGCUUACACAAACAGAUGUAUAAUGCACUCACUCAUCAACAACAACCAAAA